GGGGCUGACCGGUUUUGACAGCGAGAUGAAAUGGUUUGUAAGCAUGCAGCGCAUGGUCGGCUGGCGCUAUAAUCUUAGACGGCAAAAAAUUAACUGGCAACGAAAAUUAUGCUCUUGCUGCUUAAUCGAAGUAUAGUAGAUUGUUAGCUUAAUCCUUGCACAGGUGCAGGGACAAGACAUCACCCGGAAGCUGUGGCUUCGAAGCGUUCCGAUACGGUGGUGCAGGUAAAUCGGAGAUAGACUGCCGGAUGCUUCGGACAGCAGUCGAAAAUGAAGAAGAUAAGGUUAGGGUUGGUAGCUCCGGUCUUGCCCUUUCCCGACAAUUAAAGCGGAGAUAAGCAUGUAGAAAGCAGAUUAGUUCCUUGUUUGGACGAGGGUUCAACUCCCUCCAGCUCCACGA
This 400-nucleotide transfer-messenger RNA is filed under the name Prevotella sp. It matches the Rfam family "transfer-messenger RNA". Rfam says of the family: Bacterial tmRNA, also known as 10Sa RNA or SsrA, is named for its dual tRNA and mRNA-like properties. Its role is to liberate the mRNA from a stalled ribosome. Lineage: Bacteria; Pseudomonadati; Bacteroidota; Bacteroidia; Bacteroidales; Prevotellaceae. The record is from RNAcentral.